GACGAACGCUGGCGGCGUGCUUAACACAUGCAAGUCGAACGGAAAGGCCUCUUUCGGGGGGUACUCGAGUGGCGAACGGGUGAGUAACACGUGAGUAACCUGCCCUUGACUUUGGGAUAACUUCAGGAAACUGGGGCUAAUACCGGAUAGGAGCUCCUGCUGCAUGGUGGGGGUUGGAAAGUUUCGGCGGUUGGGGAUGGACUCGCGGCUUAUCAGCUUGUUGGUGGGGUAGUGGCUUACCAAGGCUUUGACGGGUAGCCGGCCUGAGAGGGUGACCGGCCACAUUGGGACUGAGAUACGGCCCAGACACCUACGGGAGGCAGCAGUGGGGAAUAUUGCACAAUGGGUGGAAGCCUGAUGCAGCAACGCCGUGUGCGGGAUGACGGCCUUCGGGUUGUAAACCGCUUUCGCUCAUGACGAAGCUUUGUGUGACGGUAGUGGGUAAAGAAGCACCGGCUAACUACGUG
RNAcentral lists this ribosomal RNA (467 nucleotides) under uncultured bacterium. RNAcentral describes it as "partial 16S ribosomal RNA". It matches the Rfam family "Bacterial small subunit ribosomal RNA", at positions 28 to 507 of the family's 1533-position model. The record is from RNAcentral.